CAGUAGCCACGGUAAUACGGAGGGUGCAAGCGUUAUCCGGAUUUAUUGGGUUUAAAGGGUCCGUAGGCGGAUCUGUAAGUCAGUGGUGAAAUCUUACAGCUUAACUGUGAAACUGCCAUUGAUACUGCAGGUCUUGAGUAAAUUUGAAGUGGCUGGAAUAAGUAGUGUAGCGGUGAAAUGCAUAGAUAUUACUUAGAACACCAAUUGCGAAGGCAGGUCACUAAGAUUUAACUGACGCUGAUGGACGAAAGCGUGGGGAGCGAACAGGAUUAGAUACCCCAGUAGUCCCUGUCUCUUAUAC
This 301-nucleotide ribosomal RNA is filed under the name uncultured bacterium. Its description in RNAcentral is "partial 16S ribosomal RNA". It matches the Rfam family "Bacterial small subunit ribosomal RNA", at positions 509 to 807 of the family's 1533-position model. The record is from RNAcentral.